GAUGAACGCCGGCGGUGUGCCUAAUACAUGCAAGUCGAACGCGUUGGCCCAACUGAUUGAACGUGCUUGCACGGACUUGACGUUGGUUUACCAGCGAGUGGCGGACGGGUGAGUAACACGUAGGUAACCUGCCCCAAAGCGGGGGAUAACAUUUGGAAACAGAUGCUAAUACCGCAUAACAAUUUGAAUCGCAUGAUUCAAAUUUAAAAGAUGGCUUCGGCUAUCACUUUGGGAUGGACCUGCGGCGCAUUAGCUUGUUGGUAGGGUAACGGCCUACCAAGGCUGUGAUGCGUAGCCGAGUUGAGAGACUGAUCGGCCACAAUGGAACUGAGACACGGUCCAUACUCCUACGGGAGGCAGCAGUAGGGAAUCUUCCACAAUGGGCGCAAGCCUGAUGGAGCAACACCGCGUGAGUGAAGAAGGUUUUCGGAUUGUAAACUUCUGUUAUAAAGGAAGAACGGCGGCUACAGGAAAUGGUAGCCGAGUGACGGUACUUUAUUAGAAGCC
This 507-nucleotide ribosomal RNA is filed under the name uncultured bacterium. RNAcentral describes it as "bacterial SSU rRNA". It matches the Rfam family "Bacterial small subunit ribosomal RNA", at positions 28 to 492 of the family's 1533-position model. The record is from RNAcentral.